GAGUUUGAUCCUGGCUCAGAUUGAACGCUGGCGGCAUGCCUUACACAUGCAAGUCGAACGGCAGCACGGGAGCUUGCUCCUGGUGGCGAGUGGCGAACGGGUGAGUAAUAUAUCGGAACGUACCCUAGAGUGGGGGAUAACGCAGCGAAAGUUGCGCUAAUACCGCAUACGAUCUACGGAUGAAAGUGGGGGAUCGCAAGACCUCAUGCUCAUGGAGCGGCCGAUAUCUGAUUAGCUAGUUGGUAGGGUAAAAGCCUACCAAGGCUUCGAUCAGUAGCUGGUCUGAGAGGACGACCAGCCACACUGGAACUGAGACACGGUCCAGACUCCUACGGGAGGCAGCAGUGGGGAAUUUUGGACAAUGGGCGCAAGCCUGAUCCAGCAAUGCCGCGUGAGUGAAGAAGGCCUUCGGGUUGUAAAGCUCUUUUGUCAGGGAAGAAACGGUUCUGGUUAAUACCUGGGGCUAAUGACGGUACCUGAAGAAUAAGCACCGGCUAACUACGUGCCAGCAGCCGCGGUAAUACGUAGGGUGCAAGCGUUAAUCGGAAUUACUGGGCGUAAAGCGUGCGCAGGCGGUUAUGUAAGACAGAUGUGAAAUGCCCGGGCUCAACCUGGGAACUGCAUUUGUGACUGCAUGGCUAGAGUGUGUCAGAGGGGGGUAGAAUUCCACGUGUAGCAGUGAAAUGCGUAGAGAUGUGGAGGAAUACCGAUGGCGAAGGCAGCCCCCUGGGAUAACACUGACGCUCAUGCACGAAAGCGUGGGGAGCAAACAGGAUUAGAUACCCUGGUAGUCCACGCCCUAAACGAUGUCUACUAGUUGUCGGGACUUAAUUGUCUUGGUAACGCAGCUAACGCGUGAAGUAGACCGCCUGGGGAGUACGGUCGCAAGAUUAAAACUCAAAGGAAUUGACGGGGACCCGCACAAGCGGUGGAUGAUGUGGAUUAAUUCGAUGCAACGCGGAAAACCUUACCUACCCUUGACAUGUACGGAAGCCACCGAGAGAUCGAGUGGUGCUCGAAAGAGAACCGUAACACAGGGCUGCAUGGCUGUCGUCAGCCUCCGUGUCCUUGAGAUGUUGGGUUUAGUUCCGCAACCGAGCGCAACCCUUGGUCAUUAGUUUGCUACGAAAGGGCCCCUUCUUAAUGAGAACUGCCGGUGCAAAACCCGGGAGAAGGGGGGGAAUGACGUCCAGUCCCUCCAUGGCCCCUUAAGUGGUGUGAGGGGCCUUUACCACGAGCUCUAUUACAAAGUGUGUAC
Molecule: ribosomal RNA, 1258 nt
Filed under: iron-reducing bacterium enrichment culture clone FeC_1_E2
Lineage: Bacteria
Description: bacterial SSU rRNA
Rfam family: Bacterial small subunit ribosomal RNA
Source: RNAcentral